GUGGGUAACCUGCCCUUAAGUGGGGGAUAACAUUUGGAAACAGAUGCUAAUACCGCAUAGAUCCAAGAACCGCAUGGUUCUUGGCUGAAAGAUGGCGUAAGCUAUCGCUUUUGGAUGGACCCGCGGCGUAUUAGCUAGUUGGUGAGGUAAUGGCUCACCAAGGCGAUGAUACGUAGCCGAACUGAGAGGUUGAUCGGCCACAUUGGGACUGAGACACGGCCCAAACUCCUACGGGAGGCAGCAGUAGGGAAUCUUCCACAAUGGACGCAAGUCUGAUGGAGCAACGCCGCGUGAGUGAAGAAGGCUUUCGGGUCGUAAAACUCUGUUGUUGGAGAAGAAUGGUCGGCAGAGUAACUGUUGUCGGCGUGACGGUAUCCAACCAGAAAGCCACGGCUAACUACGUGCCAGCAGCCGCGGUAAUACGUAGGUGGCAAGCGUUAUCCGGAUUUAUUGGGCGUAAAGCGAGCGCAGGCGGUUUUUUAAGUCUGAUGUGAAAGCCCUCGGCUUAACCGAGGAAGCGCAUCGGAAACUGGGAAACUUGAGUGCAGAAGAGGACAGUGGAACUCCAUGUGUAGCGGUGAAAUGCGUAGAUAUAUGGAAGAACACCAGUGGCGAAGGCGGCUGUCUGGUCUGUAACUGACGCUGAGGCUCGAAAGCAUGGGUAGCGAACAGGAUUAGAUACCCUGGUAGUCCAUGCCGUAAACGAUGAAUGCUAGGUGUUGGAGGGUUUCCGCCCUUCAGUGCCGCAGCUAACGCAUUAAGCAUUCCGCCUGGGGA
Molecule: ribosomal RNA, 777 nt
Filed under: Lacticaseibacillus paracasei subsp. tolerans
Lineage: Bacteria; Bacillati; Bacillota; Bacilli; Lactobacillales; Lactobacillaceae
Description: bacterial SSU rRNA
Rfam family: Bacterial small subunit ribosomal RNA
Source: RNAcentral